CCGGAACUCCAUAGUUAAAGGAAAUUUCCACUAAUUCUGUGAACAUAUUUUAUCUCUUUUAAUUGUAUUCUGUAGCUAGGAGCUUGGGUUCUUGGAAGUCAAUUUCAUUGGUGGCAAGAGGAGGGCAUAAUUAAUUCUAACAAGUUCAUUUCAUAGUGUCAUUUAAAAAUAGAAUACUUCUGUCUGGAGUGUGUAAAUUGAUGUUGAAUGUUCAUGAUGUUCUCUCAUACAUACC
Molecule: long non-coding RNA, 235 nt
Filed under: Homo sapiens (human)
Lineage: Eukaryota; Metazoa; Chordata; Mammalia; Primates; Hominidae
Description: HSALNT0084133
Source: RNAcentral